GGUUGACCUCGGAUCAGGUAGGGAUACCA
RNAcentral lists this ribosomal RNA (29 nucleotides) under Arthroderma multifidum. RNAcentral describes it as "partial 28S ribosomal RNA". Lineage: Eukaryota; Fungi; Ascomycota; Eurotiomycetes; Onygenales; Arthrodermataceae. The record is from RNAcentral. RNAcentral also lists the same sequence under 1 other name.